ACCAGACUCCUACGGGAGGCAGCAGUGGGGAAUAUUGGGCAAUGGGCGAAAGCCUGACCCAGCAACGCUGCGUGAAGGAAGAAGGCUUUCGGGUUGUAAACUUCUUUUGACAGGGAAGAGCAGAAGACGGUACCUGUCGAAUAAGCCACGGCUAACUACGUACCAGCAGCCGCGGUAAUACGUAGGUGGCAAGCGUUGUCCGGAUUUACUGGGUGUAAAGGGCGUGUAGCCGGGCUGACAAGUCAGAUGUGAAAUCCGGGGGCUCAACCCCCGAACUGCAUUUGAAACUGUUGGUCUUGAGUAUCGGAGAGGCAGGCGGAAUUCCUAGUGUAGCGGUGAAAUGCGUAGAUAUUAGGAGGAACAUCAGUGGCGAAGGCGACUAUCUGGCACAUAACUGACGCUGAGGAGCGAAAGCGUGGGUAGCAAACAGGAUUAGAUACCCGAGUA
RNAcentral lists this ribosomal RNA (447 nucleotides) under uncultured bacterium. Its description in RNAcentral is "bacterial SSU rRNA". It matches the Rfam family "Bacterial small subunit ribosomal RNA", at positions 330 to 792 of the family's 1533-position model. The record is from RNAcentral.